GUCUACGGCCAUGCCACCCUGAACAAGCCUGAUCCCGUCUGAUCUCAGAAGCUAAGCAGGGUCAGACCUGGUUAGUACUUGGAUGGGAGACCAGGUGUUGUAGGUG
RNAcentral lists this ribosomal RNA (106 nucleotides) under Pteropus alecto (black flying fox). Lineage: Eukaryota; Metazoa; Chordata; Mammalia; Chiroptera; Pteropodidae. The record is from RNAcentral.